AGUGAACGCUGGCGGUAGGCCUAACACAUGCAAGUCGAACGGCAGCACAGGAGAGCUUGCUCUCUGGGUGGCGAGUGGCGGACGGGUGAGGAAUACAUCGGAAUCUACUCUGUCGUGGGGGAUAACGUAGGGAAACUUACGCUAAUACCGCAUACGACCUACGGGUGAAAGCAGGGGACCUUCGGGCCUUGCGCGAUUGAAUGAGCCGAUGUCGGAUUAGCUAGUUGGCGGGGUAAAGGCCCACCAAGGCGACGGUCCGUAGCUGGUCUGAGAGGAGGAUCAGCAACGCUGGAGCUGAGAGACGGUCCAGACUCCUACGGGAGGCAGCAGUGGGGAAUAGUGGACAAUGGGCGCAAGCCUGAUCCAGCCAUAACGCGUGGGUGAAGAAGGCCUUCGGGUUGUAAAGCCCUUUUGUUGGGAAAGAAAUCCAGAUGGCUAAUACCCGGUUGGGAUGACGGUACCCAAAGAAUAAGCACCGGCUAACUUCGUGCCAGCCGCCGCAGUAA
RNAcentral lists this ribosomal RNA (506 nucleotides) under uncultured bacterium. Its description in RNAcentral is "partial 16S ribosomal RNA". It matches the Rfam family "Bacterial small subunit ribosomal RNA", at positions 29 to 523 of the family's 1533-position model. The record is from RNAcentral.